This 235-nucleotide ribosomal RNA is filed under the name uncultured Staphylococcus sp. Its description in RNAcentral is "partial 16S ribosomal RNA". It matches the Rfam family "Bacterial small subunit ribosomal RNA", at positions 105 to 334 of the family's 1533-position model. The record is from RNAcentral. Lineage: Bacteria; Bacillati; Bacillota; Bacilli; Caryophanales; Staphylococcaceae.
GGUGAGUAACACGUGGAUAACCUACCUAUAAGACUGGGAUAACUUCGGGAAACCGGAUCUAAUACCGGAUAAUAUUUUGAACCGCAUGGUUCAAAAGUGAAAGACGGUCUUGCUGUCACUUAUAGAUGGAUCCGCGCUGCAUUAGCUAGUUGGUAAGGUAACGGCUUACCAAGGCAACGAUGCAUAGCCGACCUGAGAGGGUGAUCGGCCACACUGGAACUGAGACACGGUCCAG